AUGGAUGAUUUUGUUGCUGUUGUUGAGAAAGAAGAAGCACGAGCAAAGAAGAAAGCUGUUCAGCCCCUUUCAAUAGAGAGAAAUGUGAAGGUUAACAAAAGGGAUGCAACAAAAAAGCAACAAGAAGAAUGGGAGUAUGGCACACCUGAAGACCUUAAGCCCAAGAAGAACCAACUAGCCCGAAGGAACAUGUCCAAAAAUCACAACAUAGUUAUUGACAAAGUCCAAUGCACAAAGCCGACAUGGACAACUCUAGAGAAGGACAUCAUCAAGGAACAUGUGGAGAUGGUCAAGUCCAUGAUGUCUUCUAUGGAGGAUGGAGAGAUCAGCAUAUCAGCUUACGACACCGCAUGGGUUGCUUUGGUCGAAGGCGUCAAUGGAACUGGUUCACCUCAGUUCCCUUCCAGCCUCGAAUGGAUUGCCAACAACCAGCUUGAAGAUGGCUCUUGGGGCUACAAGGACCUCUUCUCUGCUCACGAUCGACUCAUUAACACUCUCGCGUGUGUCGUUGCGUUAAAGUCAUGGAAUAUCCACGCCGAAAAAUGCUUCAAAGGAAUGAAAUUUUUCAAGGAAAACCUACACAAGAUUGAAGACGAGAACAUGGAGCACAUACUUGUAGGGUUUGAAGUUACAUUCCCUUCUCUCCUCGAAAUAGCUCGAAUCUUAAAUCUUGAAGUACCUGAUGAUGACACACCUGUGUUGCGUGAGAUUCGUGCCCGUAAAAAUCUGAAACUCUCAAAGAUACCAUGGGACACACUGCACAAUGUGGCCACGUCACUACUUCAUAGCCUAGAGGGAAUGGCAGGUCUCGAUUGGAAAAAGCUUUUGAAACUCCAGUCAGAAGACGGGUCGUUUUUGUUUCUCCGGCAUCUACUGCCUACGCAUUGAAGCAGACGAAGGAUCGAAACUGUAUGUCGUAUUUAUCGAGAAUUGUCCUGAAGUUCAACAGAGGAGCGCCUCAUGCGUAUCCCAUCGAUUUGUUCGAACGUAUGUGGGUUGUAGAUCGGUUGCAGAGGUUAGGAUUGUCCAGAUACUUGGAGCCGGAGAUUAAGGAGUGUAUAUGCUACGUAUCAAGGUAUUGGACAGAGAAAGGAAUUUCUUGGGAGAGAAACUCGGAGGUUCCUGAUCUUGAUGACACAUCAAUGGGUUUUAGAUUGCUCCGGUUGCAUGGGCACAAGGUGUCGGCCGAUGUAUUUGAGCAUUUUAAGAAAGGGAGUGAGUUCUUCUGCCAUCCUGGAGAAUUGAACAACGCUGUAACUGUAAUACACAACUUGUAUAGGGCAAGUCAGGUGGCAUUUCGAGGAGAGAAGAUCCUUGGGGAUGCGAAAGAGUUUGCGACUAAGUUCCUUAGAGAGAAACAGGCUGCCAAUGAGUUUUCAGACAAAUGGAUCAUUACCAAAGACUUACCUGGAGAGGUGGUUUACGCAUUGGAUUUUCCAUGGUAUGCGAGCUUACCCCGACUGGAGACUAGAUUCUACAUUGACAGUAUGGCGGCGAAGAUGACGUUUGGAUUGCCAAGACUCUCUACAGCAUGCCCAACAUUAGCAAUAAUGUGUAUCUGGAGCUGGCAAGGCUUGACUACAACGAUUGCCAAGCACUGCAUCUCAAGGAAUGGGACAACAUUCAAAAGUGGUACAGAGACUGGGAACUAGGAGACUAUGGAUUGAGUGAAAAGACUCUCCUCACAAAUUAUUUUGUUGCAGCAGCGAGCAUUUUUGAACCUGAAAGAGCUAAUGAGCGACUUGCCUGGGCUAAAACCGCAUGCCUGGUUGAUACAAUUGUGCGUUCAUGUCUAAGUGACGGAGAUAAGAAGGCUUUUGUUGAUGAGUUCAAAUUCUUCUCCAAUAUGCAAGACCAUGGGACUACAAGGUUGUACAAAAACAAGAUCGCAGGGCAAGGAAUUGUUGGAGCUUUAUUGGCAACCCUAAGCCAACUCUCAUCGGUUACAAUGGUGCUACAUCGCCAAAACAUUAUCGAAUCUCUAUGUCAAGCUUGGACAAAAUGGCUACUGAAGUGGCAAGAAACUGGGGAGACGUACAAAGAUGAGGCUGAGCUACUGGUGGAAAUGAUAAAUCAAACUGCUGGCCUUAGCCAAGAUUUGAUGUCCAAUAAUUCAGAAUAUGAGCAGCUUUUCGGCCUAACCAACAAAAUUUGCAAUCAACUUCGUUCGUACCGAGACCAAAAGAACAAGGUAAAUCAUAACGGCAACUGCAUGACGAAAAUCAAUAUGACAACCCCAGAAAUAGAAUCAUAUAUGCAACAGUUGGUGGAAUUGGUACUAGAAAAAGCUCCGGAUGACACAGGAUCCUUGAUUAAGCAAGGCUUUUUCACCGUAGCGAGGAGUUUUUACUAUUCUACCUAUUGUGACUCUCAAGUCAUUAGCCAUCACAUUAACAAAGUACUCUUUCAGCGAGCAAUUUGA
Fragaria vesca subsp. vesca is the source of this 2422-nucleotide RNA transcript. It is a transcript of the gene named ent-copalyl diphosphate synthase, chloroplastic-like, with no coding region annotated. The record is from RefSeq and is a predicted model, not a curated record. The transcript has 13 exons. NCBI's taxonomy places the organism in Eukaryota, Viridiplantae, Streptophyta, Magnoliopsida, Rosales, Rosaceae.